GCUUCAGAAAGUGCCAGUAUUGGGAACUGGAGACUGCGGGUUCGAAUCCCGUCAGGUGCA
Molecule: transfer RNA, 60 nt
Filed under: Paraburkholderia hospita
Lineage: Bacteria; Pseudomonadati; Pseudomonadota; Betaproteobacteria; Burkholderiales; Burkholderiaceae
Description: tRNA_Pro_TGG
Rfam family: tRNA
About the family: Transfer RNA (tRNA) molecules are approximately 80 nucleotides in length. Their secondary structure includes four short double-helical elements and three loops (D, anti-codon, and T loops).
Source: RNAcentral